GGGCACAUGGUAUAGUUGGUUAUCACGUCCGCUUAGCACUUCAAAUGCAUGCGGGCGGUGCCCGGUUCAAUUCUGGGUGUGUCCA
RNAcentral lists this transfer RNA (85 nucleotides) under Leucoagaricus sp. SymC.cos. It matches the Rfam family "tRNA". Rfam says of the family: Transfer RNA (tRNA) molecules are approximately 80 nucleotides in length. Their secondary structure includes four short double-helical elements and three loops (D, anti-codon, and T loops). The record is from Rfam by way of RNAcentral. Lineage: Eukaryota; Fungi; Basidiomycota; Agaricomycetes; Agaricales; Agaricaceae.